AUGAGAAGAACAGAGGGGGUUCGAUGGAGUCACCGCCAUCGCAAAACUCACCCGUAUCACUCGCCCCAGUUUAGGGUUUCAAGAUAUGAAACCCUAAGUCCCAAUCGCUUGCCACCGUCACUCUCGCUGUCUUCUGCCAUCGCCGCCGCCAUCGUCACCAUUGUCAAAACAUCACCGUGGUGC
Vicia faba (fava bean) is the source of this 183-nucleotide non-coding RNA. The record is from the annotation of a GenBank genome assembly. Lineage: Eukaryota; Viridiplantae; Streptophyta; Magnoliopsida; Fabales; Fabaceae.